Molecule: ribosomal RNA, 484 nt
Filed under: uncultured bacterium
Lineage: Bacteria
Description: partial 16S ribosomal RNA
Rfam family: Bacterial small subunit ribosomal RNA
Source: RNAcentral
AUUGAACGCUGGCGGCAGGCCUAACACAUGCAAGUCGAGCGGAUGAAGGGAGCUUGCUCCUGGAUUCAGCGGCGGACGGGCGAGUAAUGCCUAGGAAUCUGCCUGGUAGUGGGGGAUAACGUCCGGAAACGGGCGCUAAUACCGCAUACGUCCUGAGGGAGCAAGUGGGGGAUCUUCGGACCUCACGCUAUCAGAUGAGCCUAGGUCGGAUUAGCUAGUUGGUGGGGUAAAGGCCUACCAAGGCGACGAUCCGUAACUGGUCUGAGAGGAUGAUCAGUCACACUGGAACUGAGACACGGUCCAGACUCCUACGGGAGGCAGCAGUGGGGAAUAUUGGACAAUGGGCGAGAGCCUGAUCCAGCCAUGCCGCGUGUGUGAAGAAGGUCUUCGGAUUGUAAAGCACUUUAAGUUGGGAGGAAGGGCAGUAAGUUAAUACCUUGCUGUUUUGACGUUACCAACAGAAUAAGCACCGGCUAACUUCGUG